AAUAAUAAUCAUCAUGAGAUCAAACUUUUCAAUGUACAUUGUUUAUUUCCUUAAUAUCUUCAUUCGAAUCAUAUUUUCAAUCCGAUUCGGACAAUGCCAAUGCUUUAGACAUG
Molecule: long non-coding RNA, 113 nt
Organism: Rhodamnia argentea
Lineage: Eukaryota; Viridiplantae; Streptophyta; Magnoliopsida; Myrtales; Myrtaceae
Exons: 3
Source: RefSeq, a predicted model, not a curated record